UACGAAGGGGGCUAGCGUUGUUCGGAUUUACUGGGCGUAAAGCGCACGUAGGCGGAUUGUUAAGUCAGGGGUGAAAUCCUGGAGCUCAACUCCAGAACUGCCUUUGAUACUGGCAAUCUCGAGUCCGGAAGAGGUGAGUGGAACUCCUAGUGUAGAGGUGGAAUUCGUAGAUAUUAGGAAAAACACCAGUGGCGAAGGCGGCUCACUGGUCCGGUACUGACGCUGAGGUGCGAAAGCGUGGGGAGCAAACAGG
This 253-nucleotide ribosomal RNA is filed under the name uncultured bacterium. Its description in RNAcentral is "partial 16S ribosomal RNA". It matches the Rfam family "Bacterial small subunit ribosomal RNA", at positions 524 to 776 of the family's 1533-position model. The record is from RNAcentral.